This 467-nucleotide ribosomal RNA is filed under the name uncultured bacterium. Its description in RNAcentral is "bacterial SSU rRNA". It matches the Rfam family "Bacterial small subunit ribosomal RNA", at positions 30 to 490 of the family's 1533-position model. The record is from RNAcentral.
AUUGAACGCUGGCGGAAUGCUUUACACAUGCAAGUCGAACGGCAGCACGGGGGCAACCCUGGUGGCGAGUGGCGAACGGGUGAGUAAUACAUCGGAACGUGCCCAGUCGUGGGGGAUAACGUAGCGAAAGCUACGCUAAUACCGCAUACGAUCUACGGAUGAAAGCGGGGGAUCGCAAGACCUCGCGCGAUUGGAGCGGCCGAUGGCAGAUUAGGUAGUUGGUGGGGUAAAGGCUCACCAAGCCUGCGAUCUGUAGCUGGUCUGAGAGGACGACCAGCCACACUGGAACUGAGACACGGUCCAGACUCCUACGGGAGGCAGCAGUGGGGAAUUUUGGACAAUGGGCGAAAGCCUGAUCCAGCCAUUCCGCGUGCAGGAUGAAGGCCCUCGGGUUGUAAACUGCUUUUGUACGGAACGAAAAGGCUCUUUCUAAUACAAAGAGCUCAUGACGGUACCGUAAGAAUAAG